UCAACCUGAGAGUUUGAUUCUGGCUCAGAACGAACGCUGGCGGCAGGCCUAACACAUGCAAGUCGAGCGCCC
Molecule: ribosomal RNA, 72 nt
Filed under: Hyphomonadaceae bacterium
Lineage: Bacteria; Pseudomonadati; Pseudomonadota; Alphaproteobacteria; Hyphomonadales; Hyphomonadaceae
Description: partial 16S ribosomal RNA
Rfam family: Bacterial small subunit ribosomal RNA
Source: RNAcentral